CUACGGGGCGCAGCAGUGAGGAAUAUUGCGCAAUGGGCGAAAGCCUGACGCAGCAACGCCGCGUGGAUGAUGAAGGCCUUCGGGUUGUAAAAUCCUUUUUUGGGGAACGAUAAUGACGGUACCUCAAGAAUAAGUCCCGGCUAACUACGUGCCAGCAGCCGCGGUAAAACGUAGGGGGCGAGCGUUAUCCGGAUUUACUGGGCGUAAAGCGCACGUAGGCGGUGCCGUAAGUUGGAUGGGAAAGCUCCUGGCUUAACUGGGAGAGGUCGUUCAAAACUGCGGUGCUUGAGGAUAGAAGAGGAGAGUAGAAUUCCCGGUGGAGUGGUGGAAUGCGUAGAUAUCGGGAGGAAUACCAGUGGCGAAGGCGGCUCUCUGGUCUAUACCUGACGCUGAGGUGCGAAAGCGUGGGGAGCGAACGGGAUUAGAUACCCGAGUAGUC
This 439-nucleotide ribosomal RNA is filed under the name uncultured bacterium. Its description in RNAcentral is "partial 16S ribosomal RNA". It matches the Rfam family "Bacterial small subunit ribosomal RNA", at positions 339 to 795 of the family's 1533-position model. The record is from RNAcentral.